AUUGAACGCUGGCGGCAGGCCUAACACAUGCCAGUCGAGCGGAUGAAGGGAGCUUGCUCCUGGAUUCAGCGGCGGACGGGUGAGUAAUGCCUAGGAAUCUGCCUGGUAGUGGGGGAUAACGUCCGGAAACGGGCGCUAAUACCGCAUACGACCUGAGGGAGAAAGUGGGGGAUCUUCGGACCUCACGCUAUCAGAUGAGCCUAGGUCGGAUUAGCUAGUUGGUGGGGUAAAGGCCUACCAAGGCGACGAUCCGUAACUGGUCUGAGAGGAUGAUCAGUCACACUGGAACUGAGACACGGUCCAGACUCCUACGGGAGGCAGCAGUGGGGAAUAUUGGACAAUGGGCGAAAGCCUGAUCCAGCCAUGCCGCGUGUGUGAAGAAGGUCUUCGGAUUGUAAAGCACUUUAAGUUGGGAGGAAGGGCAGUAAGUUAAUACCUUGCUGUUUUGACGUUACCAACAGAAUAAGCACCGGCUAACUUCGUG
Molecule: ribosomal RNA, 484 nt
Filed under: uncultured bacterium
Lineage: Bacteria
Description: partial 16S ribosomal RNA
Rfam family: Bacterial small subunit ribosomal RNA
Source: RNAcentral